This 427-nucleotide long non-coding RNA is filed under the name Carica papaya (papaya). Its description in RNAcentral is "long non-coding RNA (CPAP_LNC014808)". Lineage: Eukaryota; Viridiplantae; Streptophyta; Magnoliopsida; Brassicales; Caricaceae. The record is from RNAcentral.
AAAAUAUGUUGUGUAAUGAUUGAAUUGCAAAGGUGUGAUAAGUAUUAUGUUAUACAGCUCAUAUGAUUUCAUGAUAAUGAUAAUGUUAUUGCUUUCGUAUAUUGUUUUAUGAAUUUCACCGAGGUAAGUGGAUAGUAAAGGAUUUUAUUAUUGAUAAAAGAAUUUGUUGUAAAUUAUGCUCCAUUGGUCUUUUUGUGUUUUCUACCCACUUUUACCUCCGUGACGGUGAGAUAGUGUGAUGUCUUUACUGGGCUGGUGUAGCUCAUUCCUUAUUUAAUCAUUUCAGAUCAGGAAGACAUUGUUCCCGAGCCCGUUCCGCAGGAAGACGGCGAAGGGGACGCCUGAAAACUCCGUAGUUAUAUUUAUAGCUUUUAUUUUCGAGUUUCUCUUUUAGUUAGUUUGUUCUUUUAUACUUUGAGCACGUUUU